This 442-nucleotide ribosomal RNA is filed under the name uncultured bacterium. RNAcentral's name for it is "bacterial SSU rRNA". It matches the Rfam family "Bacterial small subunit ribosomal RNA", at positions 355 to 795 of the family's 1533-position model. The record is from RNAcentral.
UGGGGAAUUUUGGACAAUGCACGGAAGUGUGAUCCAGCGACGCCGCGUGAAGGAAGAAGUCCUUCGGGAUGUAAACUUCUGAACUUACAGAAUAACAGCAUAAGGGAACUUAUGUAUGAAGGUAAGUAAGGAAAAGCCCCGGCUAACUACGUGCCAGCAGCCGCGGUAAGACGUAGGGGGCGAGCGUUGCCCGGAAUCACUGGGCGUAAAGGGGGCGUAGGCGGUCUCAUAAGUCAGGUGUGAAAUGUCACUGCUCAACGGUGUCAGUGCGCUUGAAACUGUGAGACUUGAGGGUACCAGAGGUAGACGGAAUUACCUGAGUAGGGGUGAAAUCCGUAGAUACAGGUAAGAACGCCAGUGGGGAAGCCGGUCUACUGGGGUGACCCUGACGCUGAGGCCCGAAAGCUAGGGUAGCAAACCGGAUUAGAUACCCCGAGUAGUC